AGAAGACAGGAGAGAAAUUUAAGCA
Molecule: unclassified non-coding RNA, 25 nt
Filed under: Mus musculus (house mouse)
Lineage: Eukaryota; Metazoa; Chordata; Mammalia; Rodentia; Muridae
Description: oocyte_clustered_small_RNA8425
Source: RNAcentral